UGAGUGACCAUCAACUUUUCUACAGGUCAUGGGACACAGAGCUACCUUGCUAUUUUCUGCCCUGAGUUACGUGGGUAAAACAUGAUACAGGGCUUGAUGCUGAAUGCUUAAACACAUAGUGGAUGAAGUCCUAUGGGCUACAUUUCUUUAGGCCAAGAGGGGACAGUCCUUUUACGAACAUGCAUAAGUCAGCUAUGCUACUGUGCCACUUCAGUUGCUUCCAGCUAUAAGCAGAAAUCCAGAGGCUGUUUGAAAUUCAUGAACCAGAUGCUUAUGAACCUUUUUUCAGAGAAGUCAAGUUGCAAGUGCCAGUAAAUAGCUGAUAAAGUAGAAGCAACUUCUGUGCCACUGUUGAUGGACAGCAGGGGAAAGCAGAAGGAAAUAUUAAGUAAGAAAUUAUUAGUUGGUGAAGGGGGGAAAAAAGAAGGAAUCUUUUCAUUUCCUUUAAGCUUGCUCAUUUCUUGAAUUUAGCACAGCUAACCUGAAAUAUAUAUUUUUUAAACUCUGCUUCUCAUUUGCUUUUGCAUUGCUUUCAUCUUGAGUGUGAAAUUCCAAGUUACUGUGAAAAAGCUGCCCUAGGAAUAUUCUUGGCAAUACUGCAAGCAGAAAGUACAGGAAACCUCACAAGAGAGUUUGUUCCAGAAACACUGCCAUCCACGUUUCACAGCUGCAAGGACAUUCAAAGUAAAUCUAAACACCCUCCUUUCCCUUACACAAAAUCUUGCUGAAGUAAAAGCACCUAGGACCACAAAAGUUUAAUUAAGCUAUGGCACAAUCACAAUCUGCUGAAAUAAAGGGGGAAAAAAGUCAUCCAUGAAUAAACUUUCACAAACUAAACUGGGGCCAAGAUAGUAUAACCCAGUUACUGCAUGUCACGCUGGCCGGCAGGCAAAGCAGGAAAGCAAAGGGGAAAUAUUUUUAUAAGCACACAUUUCUCUGCCAUUUCUUGUAGCCACUUUUGGCAAAUAUCAGUAAGUGAAGAAGAGCUGGUGCAAUAAUGACUGUUGGAAAGAGGAAGGCAGCAUUGUCUCUCAUUGACCUCAAGCGCUGUUUCAUACCACCACUUCUGUUCUGUUGUGCCAGUGAUGCUUUUUAGGAUGCGCUGCUUAUAAUGGAUCAUGGGGUAACUUUCUGAAAGUGUAUUUAAGUGAAGAAACAGAGGGUAUACAUUUAUGGGGUAGUUAACCCUUCAAUACUCUUACAGGAGGCAUCAGUUAACUACUAAGUGUUACUGCACAGGUAUAUUGGAUUCAAAAGGCAAUAAAAUUAAGUCUGUCUCUGGUUCAAGAUCUUAACUAUCAGCUUAAGCUCUUAUGUCCCAUCUAAAACAUCUGUGAGACAGAAAGGGUCCUGACACCCCUUUUUGACCUGGAGAAUAUUCCAAAGAACACAACACAGAGGACACGUAAGGCCGUAUCGUGAAGACCUGGCUUCAAGCCCUCUUGAACAGGCCAAGCCAUGUUGAUUCUGCCAUUAAAAUACAGAAACCUUCCGUGCUGAAACAGUAUUAGAGUUUAAAGGGAAUAAACGUGAUUCAGAGCUUCAUUAGCUGAUUUUACCUUGUGUUUAACUGCUGUCUUCCUUGAAUGGCACAGAAACUCAGCUUUGGCUUUUAUGUAGUGUGCUAGUUUUCAAUAUCCUCCUCAGGCUUUCCCUAAAGGAAAGGUAAUACUGCCAAAGAUAUAUGGAGAAAUACACUGGUAUGGUUGCUUUUCUGUUUGUUUUUAAUGCCAAGUUUUGCUUCAAGCUUGCUGUGUAACUAACACUUUUAAGUUCAUUAUUUUUAGAAUUAUUUUGCUUUUAGGCAGUAGAUGUCUUCUUACUCAUUUCUUGAUAUUACUGAUUUUUUCUCAUUUAUUGGAAUUGACAAAUCUUUGUUUCUAAUCCUGGCAAAUGUAAUAACCAUGUUACCCUGAAUUUGCUAUUCAACCCACUUGUAUUCAUUUAGGGAAAAUUAUCCAAGAGGCCUGCUACAGUUUAAAAAAAUCAAUAUAGCAGCAUGAAUGUGUAUAUGUGUGAACAGUGAGACAUAUCAGGAAAUAUUUUAUCAGUCAUCUUUAGGUAGAACUCCAACUUAUUAUUUUGUAAAACAUAAUAUUGGAAUAAUUAUUUGGGACCGAUAUCACCAGUAAAAUUAAGUGCUGAGUAAAACUUCUGUGAAAAUGUGGAAAUCUGGCUCAAUAAAUUAGAUUGCUUUAGUACUAACAAGAAAAAAAAAAAAAAAAAAAAAAAAAAAAAAAAAAACAGUAAAUGGACAAAUUCUAGGCUGGUGAAUUUACUGUAAGUAAAAUGUAAUUUCUAAGUAAGAAUGGGCUGAUGGGCUAGAGUCUAACUGGCACAGUGUCCAGAAACAAAAAGCUGGCCUCAGUGUUAACAGUAAAUCAAGUAUAGAAGUAUGAUUUUGGUACAGCUCUGUUCCAGCUUUUGAGAAUAAAGCGCUGACUCUAGCAAGGCAUCUUGGAGCCUGCGUUUGCUUUGUGAUGCCUCUGCUCCAGGUUGGUUCAGAGGGAAGUUAACUAAUAGCAAUGAAUCUAACUAAGCUAGGUGAAAGGAUUGUGUCAAACUCUGUAGUAAGUAUAAAUGGAAGAAAAGUGAACUAAUAUGCUUCUAAGACAGCGUGUGCAAAUAUUUUAAACCUAUGAAAAAGUAUAAACGUGUUCUUGAGGUGUUACAAGAAUAGGAGAUACAAUUUUCUUGCAAAGAAUAACUUUCAAUAAGAAUAUAGUAAUCAUGUAAAAGGGGGAAAUAUUAAAUUCUUGAUUGCACUAAAUAAUCCUCGUUAAGAAUUUUCCUGAUUAUCAUGACCUUUUCUUUUUCUGACUUAGCUGAUCUGUGUGUGGUGAGUUACUAGUUGAAUUGGGUGUUUAAGAAAUAAAUAAAUAAAACAACCAACCAACAAAAAAAAAUAAAAAAAAUAAAUAAAAAAACAACCCAAAUCUUUUGGAAUGGCUUAAGAGUGAAAACAGAUGACAGAAGACAGCUAUGCUAGAGAAAAAAAAAUACUUGUGAUUAAAGAAAUAUUAUAUAGCAAGCUAUAUAGGGCACUGGGGAAAACGGGAAGAGGGAGUAUAUAUUUUUUUCCAGUUGUUACAUUAUCUUCACACAGUCACACAUGUUUGCAGUAAAGUUGACUCAUGAAAAAAAAAGGACCUUGUAAAAAUGUCUGUGUUCAAAGAAAAUCAUUUCUUGUACACUGCAUGCAUACACACAAAUCACUAAUGGUCAACGUUUGUUGUCAAUAGCAGUUUUCCUUACAUUUUCUGUUUGUUUGUUUGUUUUUAUGCAACCAUAAGUAUGAAAUCUUUGAAUCAUGCCAUAUUGGUCAAACAGUUAGAAAGUAAUAUUUCAUGCAGUUAUAUUUUAGAUAACUGAGCUGAUAUAGUAAGGAAAAUAGGUAGAGGUAUGUGUUAGGGGGAAAAAGGAAUAUAUGCAAUAUUUUGUGCCCUUCUCAUUUAACUUCAAAACUCUAUUCUACUCUUCAUGUACAUCUUUGCCAGGUGCUUCAAAACAAGAUGCAAGAACGUACCUACGUACCUACAACUCUUAUGCUGUCUCUUUCCGUAGUUACCGACAGUUAUGUAUUGGCCUAAAUCACUGUACAUGGCACUGAAUUGAUAAGAACUCAGUAAUCUUGGUGUCUAUAAAUACCAUGUCCCUCCUUAUAAGUUUUGUUGAUGGAUUUAGUGAUUUCUGGUAACACUGAGUUUCACAGUUUAGUUACUAUGGAGAGGUAUUUUUGUGUUGGUUUUGAUUUUUGCCCCUUUAGUUUAACGGAAUAUCUUCAUGUUCCAGGGCUGUGAGGUACCGGGACAGAGGCGGCUGAGGUCUCUUCUCUUCAUCCUUCUGCAGCGUGCUCCAGGACAUUGGGUGGCAAGUGCUGCACAGGCUGUCUGCUGUGGGCUGUGUUGUCACUUUGUACAAAGGCAUUACACCAUUCGUUUUAUUCAUCAGUAUGUUCCUCAUGCAUCCUACCAUCUUGGUAAUCCUUUUUUCUCAGUUGCAUAUUUUUCAGAUAUUUCAGUAAAGUUUAUGCUGAGGCAUUAGUGAAGUGUGGCAAAGGGUGAGCUGAUUAGAAAGUGAGUUAAUUUAUUAAAUUUAUUAAAUAUAUUCAAGAUAAGAGAUCUAACCUUUUUUGCUCCCAGAGUGCUUAUAAGAUCACACAAAAGAAACAUACAGUUUUUUUUGUUGUUGUUGUUGUUGCUUUUUCCUUGUUCCUUUGUUUUCCUUCUAUGUAAAAUAAAUUACCCAUGCUGAAAAUGAGCAGUGACAGUGAAAGUACUGGAAAAUCUUAACCAUACGAGAGGCAGUGGGAAUAGGGACCUCUCUGGAGGCACAGGAUACCCUCAGCACUUACUGCAUAUGCCUUGAUUAUUUACUUCUGUUUUAAGGAGCUGCUUGAGUGUCAUUUUUGGUUACAUUGAUUUAACUGUCAUGCUUGAUUUGUGUACAUAUUCUUGUGUUAGCAACUGUACAAAAUUAUAGAGAGAUGAAAAAGAUUCCUGGCACUUCCUCAUAACUAGAGGACAGGUUUGUUAUAUAUCGUUUAUAUCACCAUGACUUUGAAACUACUGGGAAGACGCUCGUGAGACAACUACCAGGUCUGGGCGUGGUGUAUCUCCUCAUCAUAACGCUGGUUGCUGGCUGUGACUGCCCACUUCAGGCCUAAAGCAAAGGUUUGGCAAAUGUAGGAGCAAAGAGAUUCCAGCUGCAGAGUGAGAGCAGCAUCUUAACACAGCAAAACUCCAGGUAGUGAGGCAGGACUUGGCGUUAUUAUGUGCAAUGUCCAAGGGAAUGAGUUGUAAUAGGUGAAAGUUACCAAAUAUUUAUAUCCACUGCAUAUGGAAAACAUAUUCUAAUAUUGUUGCAUAUAUUUCAUCUAAUCAAGUGUGUGUUUGUUUGUUUGUUUCUCCUGGAAGGUACGGGAAUUUAAGUUGGGAGUGGUGAUGGUUUUCAAAGGAGUCAUUAAGUCGUAGUAUAAGAAGUAUUUGAACAAGUUGGCCUAUCCAGUUGGAAUACUGAGAAAUUGGUAGGCAGGUAAGAGAUGUAGAGACAUCCAAAAAUUUUUCCUUUUCCUACAUUACUAAAAGGUUGCAAGGCUUCUGGUUAAUAGGUACUGCAGGGUCAAAAUGCAGUUUUACAUCUUCGAAAGAUUCCAUUAUGCUUUCCUACAGCAAGACCUCGGCAUUACACAAGAGCAGGCUCUUCCUGCCGUCUCAGAAAGACAUUUUACCUACUGCAAACAUGAAAACCAUUCACAAUAAACAGAACUACAAAUGAGUUCUGCAGACUUUGGAUUAGGUACAAAAUGCUGCAGUUUGCAGUGGCUAUCUGUACACUUAAACACAGACGGUAAAGAGUUCUCUUCAGCUUCACUGAGAAACUCUUAUCUAUAAAAAGCUCCAAAAAUCUCCAUUAUUGCUCAGAAAGUGUCAGUAUGGACUAGUAAAACAAGUGUGGGAUUUUUUUUCAUACCUUGGCUGGAAUCACCAUAGUGACUGUCAGUAUGCAAACCUACUUUCCUCUUGGAGCUUGGAGUUAAGAGUUAAGAGAGCUCAAAUCCUGUAUUAUUUUGGGCAGCUGUAAAGGAAAGUAUUUUGCAUUUGGUCAAGUGAAAUUACUUGAGCAUGUAUUUGAAACUGAAAGAGUUUAUGAAACAAAGUGAUCUAUCUUGAAACUAUCAUAGUUUCUUUUCACAAGCUUUAAUAUUUCCCUUAAUUUGAUCAAGGAGGGAGGGAAAUUAUUAUUAAACAAAUGUAUUAAAAAUUAGUUGACUGUAGUUCCAGGGUUUUUUAGGAAACUGAUUAUUGUACAUUUUCAAUGAACCUGAAACGAUUUACUUCUAGAGAGUAAAUCAAAGCCUUGUAUAAUUCAUGUAGUGAUUUGAAAAUAAGGGGUGCAGGAUUUUCUAUCAAAUUUCAGUGGAACAGCUAUUGAGUUUAUGCAAACUGUCAAGGGUUAUUAGGCUUUCUGGUUUUCAUAGUAUUGGAAGCUGAGUUGUUGAAGCCUAAAGCUAAAGGGAACUUAUGCACAUAGCUUGACAGACAAUGGUCAAAAAUAAUGCAAAAAGAGAGUAAAUGAAAGAGAUUACAUAACAUCCAGAAUGUCAUAAAUUACAAUCUUUGAGAGGAGAUGAGGUGAGUUAAAUGAUGUAUUGCUUUGAUUUGUACAUGUAAAAUGAAGCAUGUAUCUACAUACUGCUUUUACUGAGACUUAAACAUAAGGGCAUCUUCAGCAGAGUUAGAGGCCAAGAAUGAUGUCUAGAGCCACAGUAUGAGUGUGCUGCAUUCAGCACUACAAAACAUAAUGCUUUUGCUUCCAGCACAGAGUGAUCCUGGAGAUUUACUUGUUCCAAUUUUACCACAGCUGAAGUUUUCUUUUGAUUCUUGUAAUAAGAAACAUGGGAAUGAUGUUUAUCUUCUGAACAAGACACAGCAAAUGGUAAGAAAGAACAUCCAUUCUGUCGGGUUGUGGCUAUGGAAAUGCUAUCCUACCUGAAAUACCACUAAUCUAUGUUUUAUGACUCAGUGUUCAAUUUAUCCCUGUCCCAGGCAGAGAGUCAGGUUCAUUCUUUCUACCAGAGGCUGACAAGAUGAUUCGCAUUUCUUAUGCUUUUACUUUAUCACUUCUACAAACACGCAGCGAAUUUCAGCAGCUGGCAUGGCUGUUACAGUCCUUCCAUUAUUCACAUUAAAAAGAAAGGAGAGAAGGGAGGAGGGAAUGACUGAGGAAAAAAAAGAAAAAGAAAAAUAACUUUGAAGCCAUUGAGGAAAUAAUUAUACAUUUCUGAAUACAGCAAUUUAAAUGUAUCAUAAAAGGGGUCAAAUAACACUAUAUGUAAAAAAAUAAUAAAUCCAAGUAAGAUGUGCACUUCUCGUUCUGUAAUUUUAUGGUUUAAUCCAUCUGGCUUUUUCUGGGAAGUACCCCAUAAGCGAUGAUUAUUACUAGUGACAGCUGUCAUUUUGUUGAUAGUUCUUCCCAAAUUGCUCAAGGCGAUCAGAUAAACAAGCUUGCUUGCCUACUCUUACCAGUUAUUACUUGUUCUGUUGUGUGUUUUUCUUUUUGUCAGAACUCCCAUCUCUGACCAACACACUCAAGUAUUAAAUUAGGAAAUUCAGACACGGUUUGUGAAAUCUUUAGAGACAAUGGAGUAUUGACUCAUUCAUAUUUUCUACUUUCAAAUAUAUGCAUUAAUGAGAUGUAAAUUCUCUUAAAUAUCACCAUUAUUUUUAUCCAGAAGCCUAUGUAACAAUUCUGUAGAAAGAUCCCCCUGUCAAAUAGGAAAUGGCUACAGACCAUUUAUCUACCAUUUAUCUACUUUAUCUACUUAAUCUGCCUACAGCAGAGGGAAAGUGGUGAUACUUAACAUUUCUUUCAUCUGUUACUUUGAAAAAUAAGAAGUAGUAGUUAAUUAUUUUAAUAGCAAUUCCCUUUUGCCAGGUUCAUUAGAUUAUGCUAUCCCUCCAUAAAGAAAUAAUAAUAAUAAAAAAAAAAGUAUCAGUGGUAGAAAGAUGUAUUGCCUUUACCAAAUGACUCAUUUAUAUUUCAUUGUUUUAAGAGUUUUCCUCUGUACCUAUUUAAUAUAUAAUGUAUAUAUCUAGAGCAUUAUUGAAAUAGAAAACUUGAAAAAAGUUGACUGCAAACUUUUAGUUUCAGAUAAGAUAAACUGCUUUAAUCAGAAAGGAAUUAACAGCUCAGUCUUAGCACAAGCUGAUCAGAUUUUUACAAGUCAUGAGUAAUUGCAUAAAUACUAACAUCUGUUAACAAAAAGCAAGUAUUUGGAAAUGCUUGCAAACAAGAUUGUAGCAGUGGAUUCAUUUGUGUUCUUGCAAGUGAGUCUUACUAUUCAAAUCAACAGUAUUAUGCACAAGUUCUCUGAUGUGAAUCAAAAUAGAAUUUGCAUUGUGUUAUAUAGAACAGAGGACGUGCCUGUGUAUUUCUUCCAUGCUUCUAAUGCUUGACAGCAAAAAACUUAACUGACUACAUCUUGGUUGUUUCUUUACACUUUAGCUUGUUCAGAGACCAGCCUGCUUCAAGCUUACUGUUUGCACAGAGGAUGGAUACAUCUAACAAAGUGGCGAAAAAGAGAUUCAGAUUCUGCUAAUGGAAAGUUUUGGAACAGAAGUGAAUGGUAAAUAUUGCCAUAGUUUGCUCAAAAAUAAGGCAGAACAUUUUCAUUAUUCCUCAGGGACUUUUAUUCAGAACAUGUAAAAGCUGAGAUUGAGAAGGUGAAAGCAGCGAUACAACUGGACUCCUCUUUCCACAUUCUGGCAAUCUUUACAUCAUGGAUGAACUUAUUCUUUUACAGACUGUGGAUACCCGGUAGAGCUGCUACUGCUCAGAGAAGUGCUGUUUGAGACUGAGGAACAGCCCAUCGCUUGCAGUUUCCACUAACAAGCCCAUUCACGAUGACUGGCAAACAAGACCACUUGUUCUGGAAAUAAGAAGCUUGUCUAGGAGGGUGUGCCAGACAAUGAGACAUACAAGAGAUCCACAACUUGAUCCAUGAGGAGUUAGCCAUAAAUGUGAAAGG
This is a long non-coding RNA of Oxyura jamaicensis (ruddy duck), 8530 nucleotides long. RefSeq lists it as uncharacterized. Lineage: Eukaryota; Metazoa; Chordata; Aves; Anseriformes; Anatidae. The transcript has 5 exons. The record is from RefSeq and is a predicted model, not a curated record.